Molecule: ribosomal RNA, 482 nt
Filed under: uncultured bacterium
Lineage: Bacteria
Description: partial 16S ribosomal RNA
Rfam family: Bacterial small subunit ribosomal RNA
Source: RNAcentral
AUUGAACGCUGGCGGCAUGCUUUACACAUGCAAGUCGAACGGUAACAGGCCGCAAGGUGCUGACGAGUGGCGAACGGGUGAGUAAUGCAUCGGAACGUGCCCAGUCGUGGUGGAUAACUACUCGAAAGAGUAGCUAAUACCGCAUACGAUCUAUGGAUGAAAGCGGGGGACCGCAAGGCCUCGCGCGAUUGGAGCGGCCGAUGUCAGAUUAGGUAGUUGGUGGGGUAAAGGCUCACCAAGCCAACGAUUUGUAGCUGGUCUGAGAGGACGACCAGCCACACUGGGACUGAGACACGGCCCAGACUCCUACGGGAGGCAGCAGAGGGGAAUUUUGGACAAUGGGCGCAAGCCUGAUCCAGCAAUGCCGCGUGCAGGAAGAAGGCCUUCGGGUUGUAAACUGCUUUUGUACGGAACGAAACGGCUCUGGUUAAUACCCGGGGCUAAUGACGGUACCGUAAGAAUAAGCACCGGCUAACUACGUG